GACGAACGCUGGCGGCGUGCUUAACACAUGCAAGUCGAACGCUGAAGCUCAGCUUUUGUUGGGUGGAUGAGUGGCGAACGGGUGAGUAACACGUGAGUAACCUGCCUCCUUCUUUGGGAUAACGCCCGGAAACGGGUGCUAAUACUGGAUAUUCACUGGUCUUCGCAUGGGGGUUGGUGGAAAGGGUUUUUCUGGUGGGGGAUGGGCUCGCGGCCUAUCGGCUUGUUGGUGGGGUGAUGGCCUACCAAGGCUUUGACGGGUAGCCGGCCUGAGAGGGUGCCCGGUCACAUUGGGACUGAGAUACGGCCCAGACUCCUACGGGAGGCAGCAGUGGGGAAUAUUGCACAAUGGGCGCAAGCCUGAUGCAGCGACGCCGCGUGAGGGAUGGAGGCCUUCGGGUUGUGAACCUCUUUCGCUCAUGGUCAAGCCGCAACAAUGGUUGUGGUGAGGGUAGUGGGUAAAGAAGCGCCGGCUAACUACGUG
RNAcentral lists this ribosomal RNA (483 nucleotides) under uncultured bacterium. RNAcentral's name for it is "partial 16S ribosomal RNA". It matches the Rfam family "Bacterial small subunit ribosomal RNA", at positions 28 to 507 of the family's 1533-position model. The record is from RNAcentral.